UCGGUCUCUCCCACAUGGGGCACCACUGGCAGGAGGAGGACAGCGCUGGUGGGAGCUGCCUUUGCCGCUUCACGCUUCACCGGCUGUCACGCCACAGAUGGAGUUGGAAAAUAGUUUAUUAGUGAAAGUCUUCAGGGUCCCAUUCUGUCCAGCAGGACUGUCCUCCAGGAUGUGUUUGAUAAAAAUGCCCCUCAUCACCUCUCCAUUGCUGAGCCGGCUGCCCAUCCCUCGGCCCCCGACAAUACUGAUACCCAGGGACUUGCCUGGGGCACGGAAGAGCUCGACUCUGAGGAAGCUCUCAAACAGACUGCAAUGAAGCCCGACAGCAGAUGGAGAGAAUGAGAGGAAGGAAACCAAAGAUGGCAGCUUCUUGCCGAAACACCGCCAGCGUGGAAGU
Centropristis striata (black sea bass) is the source of this 397-nucleotide long non-coding RNA. RefSeq lists it as uncharacterized. The record is from RefSeq and is a predicted model, not a curated record. Lineage: Eukaryota; Metazoa; Chordata; Actinopteri; Perciformes; Serranidae. The transcript is spliced from 3 exons.